This 635-nucleotide long non-coding RNA is filed under the name Jatropha curcas. Its description in RNAcentral is "long non-coding RNA (JCUR_LNC000675)". Lineage: Eukaryota; Viridiplantae; Streptophyta; Magnoliopsida; Malpighiales; Euphorbiaceae. The record is from RNAcentral.
AAAUUGUUAAGAAAAAAGAACACCUGUCUGAUGGCAUUAUAAUUUUCAUACAAUCAAGCUGCUACAAUUUUAUUUUACAUUCAUAUAUUACAUUUUAUUCAGGAAUUUGGCACAAAAACUGUUAUCAUAAGCAAACUAAUAAUCUAAUUUGCAUUAUUCAUAAGCAAACUAAUAGACUCGAACUCUUGACUCUAUGCAAUCACCUAGUAUAGUUAUUGGCCCUGAAGAACCAUUGUUGACACCAACAUCCUCUUUUUUCUUGUCUUGUGGCACCAAAAGGAAUUAUUACAGAAAUGUUGAAUUCCGACAACCAAACCCUAAUAAUUUAAUUUACAUUAUUCAUAGCAAACUAAUAGACUCGGACUCGGACUCUGACUCUAGGCAAUCACCUGGUAUAGUUAUCGGCUCUGAAGAACCAUUGUUGAUACAAACAUCCUCUUUUUUCUUGUCUUGUGGCACCAAAGAAGGUUUUGGAGGCAAUUUUAGGUUUUCAAAUUCUCCUUCCAGCAUCUCUAUAACUUCAUGCAUGGAUGGACGAUAAAUGGGUUCCAAUUGUAUACACCAAAGAGCUACUAAAGCCAUCUUCUUUGUCAUUGUACUUUCCUCCUCCGAAACAUUAUCUCCCAAUUCCAUGU